This 377-nucleotide long non-coding RNA is filed under the name Mus musculus (house mouse). Its description in RNAcentral is "long non-coding RNA chr4:145775611-145775988". The record is from RNAcentral. Lineage: Eukaryota; Metazoa; Chordata; Mammalia; Rodentia; Muridae.
AGUGUUCAGAGGAUUGGCACACCAUCACAGAGCAUAGAUUACUAUUGCAUCCAUACACCUUUGACAUCUCUGGCCUAUGGAGACCCUUUGAGAAUGGAUCUUGCCUAUAUGCAUCUAUGUUUCCCUGCCUUCAGAGGUCUGAUACUUGGGAUUUUUGUGAAUCACCCAGCACCGUCCAUCUGGAAAGCCAGUAGGCACCCUCUCAUCUACAUUCUGCCCAUUUCUCUCAUCUUCUCUUUCCUUGGCUUCAUGAUAUUCACAGGCCAUUCACACUCAGACAUUUUUAUCGUGAGGCAAACCAUGUUCAUAGGUGCAUAGACUGAUUUUUUUUCCCUAAACUUUUGGCCAAGUAGAUCUUGGUUCUGGAUUUCAGAGUG